Molecule: RNase P RNA, 320 nt
Filed under: Bacilli bacterium
Lineage: Bacteria; Bacillati; Bacillota; Bacilli
Description: RNase P RNA component class B
Rfam family: Bacterial RNase P class B
About the family: Ribonuclease P (RNase P) is a ubiquitous endoribonuclease, found in archaea, bacteria and eukarya as well as chloroplasts and mitochondria. Its best characterised activity is the generation of mature 5'-ends of tRNAs by cleaving the 5'-leader elements of precursor-tRNAs.
Source: RNAcentral
CGGCCCAGACGGUUGCUCCUAGCGAUAGGAGAGGAAAGUCCAUGCUCGCACUGGCUGCGAUGCCAGUAGUGUUUACGCCAAGGGAAACAAUAACCUUGGGUAUGGAGGAGUCCAUAACGGCUGGCGAAUCUCUCUUGUAGAGAGGAGCCUCUAACGUGCCACAGAGACGAGCUUGAUGGCGACAUCAAGAUGAAACGCGGUAAACCCCUUAAGCGAGAAACCUAAAUUUGGUAAGGGAAGCGCCCAAUGCGAAAUGAAGCGGCGGGGGCCAGGCAAGUCCUGAGAUAAAUUUCCGUCCACGACAAAACAUGGCUUACGGG